Molecule: ribosomal RNA, 205 nt
Filed under: uncultured bacterium
Lineage: Bacteria
Description: partial 16S ribosomal RNA
Rfam family: Bacterial small subunit ribosomal RNA
Source: RNAcentral
UAGGGGGCCUGAGACGGUGGUCCCCCACACUGGUACUGAGACACGGACCAGACUCCUACGGGAGGCAGCAGUGAGGAAUAUUGGUCAAUGGAGGAAACUCUGAACCAGCCAUGCCGCGUGAAGGAUGACGGCCCUAUGGGUUGUAAACUUCUUUUAUAUGGGAAGAAAACUUAUCUACGUGUAGAUAACUGACGGUACCAUACGC